This 1346-nucleotide long non-coding RNA is filed under the name Ananas comosus (pineapple). Its description in RNAcentral is "long non-coding RNA (ACOM_LNC012218)". The record is from RNAcentral. Lineage: Eukaryota; Viridiplantae; Streptophyta; Magnoliopsida; Poales; Bromeliaceae.
CGGGUGUGACAGAUUAUAUUGGUAUCAGAGCCUAGGGUUGAGUCCAUAGUUAGUUAAUUGGGAUUCGGCAAAAAUUCUGUACGGGUAUAAUUCGGAUAAAAUUCGUCUUCUAAUUUUUAAAUUCGUUGAAAAAAACGGCUAAAAAACGGAUUCGUCAAUUAUUCGGAUACGUGAUUUAUACGGAUAUUAUACGUUCACCAAUUAAAAAUUCGGGAUCAAAAAUUCGGCUAUUAAAUUAAGUUUUUUUCUCUCAAGAUUUAUGCUUCCAUCCAGACUUGGGAUUUGGGAAAUUGGGAUUUUAUUUAUCUCUUGCUUGUCUAUUACAAAAGUGAGUUCAUUACAUAUACUGCUUCCAUCUAGAGGACCAAAAUGUAAGAGUUAUAAUGGCAGGGGUAUGGUAGUAAUUGUAUUAGUACUAAUUGCAUCAACUCCUGUGGCUUCAAUACGCCUCCCUCCAAGAAAGCGGAGUCGGGUCCGACAAUGCAGCUGUGAGAGAGCGCGGACCCGUCGCCCGAAAGCCGAAUCAAGGUGCGGAGUCGGGCUUGGUGACGCUACAGUGAGGGAGUGCGAGCCCACUACCCGUUAGCCUAUCUCUCCCAUAGAUCACACCGCCGCCUUGCUUCCUCCUACCAUGGAUCCUCCAUUGUCUCACUCUACUCCUUUACCUUCUAUCUACUGCUCCUCUGCUCGCCGUCAUGGUUGCACCAUGACAGAAGAGGGGGAGGGGAAGAACCGCGGCCGCCGCAGGAGUGAGAAGUUAGGGCAAACCCUUCUUUUGGGAGGGGUCGGGGACUCGGGGUGGGAGGGGAGCGAUCUUUUCAGAAAGGGUUUUUUUUUUUUUUUUUUUUUUUUUUUUUUUUUUUUUUUUUUUUUUUUUUUUUUUUUUUUUUUUUUUUUUUGCCUUUUGGGCGACAUGGCGAGGCGAAGCGCGUAGCUUCUCUGAAAAGGUUUUUUUUUUAAUAUUUUCGGCCACCCGCAAGGCCCGCGACUCCACGUCGCAGCAACCGCCCCGAUCUUUUGGGGCGAACUAUUCGCGAACCACGUUCAAUUCGCGAAUAAUUACUUUUACCCAAAAAAAUGCGUUUUUUUCCGAAUUUUUGAGAAAAAAUCGAAAACGGCCGUUUAAUUCGGAUUUUCAAAUAUUCGCGAAUAAUUCGCGAAUAUUUCGCGAAUUAACUAACUAUGGUUGAGUCUUAGUGGACCUAGCAAAUCUUAGGCUUGUUGGACUAUAGGAAAUAGGCUCGUGAGAGACGGAGGUCUAUUUGAUUUGUGAGCGAAAGUAUCAUGAUUGGGUUUUAAAUCAACUCUAAAAUGUUGGAGUUUAAUUGAAGUGUGCAACUUCUAAC